CACUGAGAAGCUAAACAGGGCCUAGCGUUAGCCUUUUAAGCUAAAGAUUGGUGCUUCCCAACCACCCCCAGUGA
Molecule: transfer RNA, 74 nt
Filed under: Hoplias malabaricus (trahira)
Lineage: Eukaryota; Metazoa; Chordata; Actinopteri; Characiformes; Erythrinidae
Also listed under: 2 other names
Description: tRNA-Lys
Rfam family: tRNA
About the family: Transfer RNA (tRNA) molecules are approximately 80 nucleotides in length. Their secondary structure includes four short double-helical elements and three loops (D, anti-codon, and T loops).
Source: RNAcentral